GCCUUCGUGGUGUAGUGGUCGGCACGCUGGGUGCGUAUUCCAGAGGUCUGUGGUUCGAAUCCCGGUGAUGGCG
Non-coding RNA from Stegodyphus mimosarum, 73 nucleotides. NCBI's taxonomy places the organism in Eukaryota, Metazoa, Arthropoda, Arachnida, Araneae, Eresidae. The record is from Rfam.